AAAUAGGAAGCGAAUAUUGCAACCAGUUUCGACCUGGAAUACUAGAUGUAAAAAACAUCCCUAUUUA
This 67-nucleotide transfer RNA is filed under the name Macromia manchurica. RNAcentral describes it as "tRNA-Arg". Lineage: Eukaryota; Metazoa; Arthropoda; Insecta; Odonata; Macromiidae. The record is from RNAcentral.